GAUGAACGCUGGCGGCGUGCUUAACACAUGCAAGUCGAACGAUGAAGCUGGAGCUUGCUCUGGUGGAUUAGUGGCGAACGGGUGAGUAACACGUGAGCAACCUGCCCCUGACUCUGGGAUAACAGCCGGAAACGGCUGCUAAUACCGGAUAUGCACCAUGAACGCAUGUUCUGUGGUGGGAAAGAUUUUUCGGUUGGGGAUGGGCUCGCGGCCUAUCAGCUUGUUGGUGAGGUAAUGGCUCACCAAGGCGUCGACGGGUAGCCGGCCUGGGAGGGUGACCGGCCACACUGGGACUGAGACACGGCCCAGACUCCUACGGGAGGCAGCAGUGGGGAAUAUUGCACAAUGGGCGAAAGCCUGAUGCAGCAACGCCGCGUGAGGGAUGACGGCCUUCGGGUUGUAAACCUCUUUUAGCAGGGAAGAAGCGAGAGUGACGGUACCUGCAGAAAAAGCGCCGGCUAACUACGUG
Molecule: ribosomal RNA, 469 nt
Filed under: uncultured bacterium
Lineage: Bacteria
Description: partial 16S ribosomal RNA
Rfam family: Bacterial small subunit ribosomal RNA
Source: RNAcentral